Molecule: long non-coding RNA, 851 nt
Organism: Rattus norvegicus (Norway rat)
Lineage: Eukaryota; Metazoa; Chordata; Mammalia; Rodentia; Muridae
Source: RefSeq, a predicted model, not a curated record
CUAGAAAGGCCGUUCUAGGCACCGCCAGCACCGCUGUCCCGGCUGGGCAUACCAGGCAUUGGCUCUUCGGGGGGGAAUGAUCGUCUGCGUUCGGCUGCCUGGAAUGCGGACCUCCCCAGCACUGCGAGUCGCUAAAGAGCUCACACCUGGACAAGCCCACGCGAACAGAUGGGACUCUCUUCAUUGUCUGAGGGAAGGAGAGUCCCAGAGCCCCUCCCUGGGUGAACCCUCACCACCACCCCCAACCACAGUGAAAAUCUUCGGUACCCUCCUUCCUGCCUCUCAAGCCAUUUGGGAGCUGCUGACCUCAGAGGCUGACAUUAUGUAAACAACUGAACCUUUCACGCUCUCUUGGUUCAUGAGUGAUGCCGUCCGUCUUGACGCCCGUCUUGACGUUUCAAUGAAACCUUCCAUGAAAUCCCUUCAGCUUUUGCAAGGUGACUGCAACAAUAUGCAAGCUGUGUGUGUUCUGUGUAUGAGUCAGGGAGGCUGCCGGGAGAAGGAAGAGGAGCUCAAAGGAGAAACAGGCCUGGGAGACCUCAAAAGAAGAAAUGUAGAUGUUGGCCUAACUUGGGGUAAAGUUUUCCCAGCUGGAAUAGUGACAAUGUCAAUAUUCUCAGAAGGCGGCUUCCGUUCCUCUUGGAGCGCUUGCUGUGUUCACACCAGCGUGACUGACUACACAGCCUCAGUCAGCUGCUGCAGGGACUACAGGCCACAUAGUAGCCUGCUACUAGGGUUGAGCACCGACUAAUCUUUCUUCUUACCUGAGCAAAGGCACCUUCCUACUCCAGGCCUUGGGAUCCCAUCCAGUAAGCAAAAAAGGCUAGAUAAAACGCCUUCUUAGUACUCUC